GACCACGUAGCUCAGUUGGCAGAGCAUUGGGCUAGCAUUCCAAAGGUCGUAGGUUCGAUUCCCACCGGGGUCA
Molecule: transfer RNA, 73 nt
Filed under: Paramuricea clavata
Lineage: Eukaryota; Metazoa; Cnidaria; Anthozoa; Malacalcyonacea; Plexauridae
Rfam family: tRNA
About the family: Transfer RNA (tRNA) molecules are approximately 80 nucleotides in length. Their secondary structure includes four short double-helical elements and three loops (D, anti-codon, and T loops).
Source: Rfam by way of RNAcentral